UUUCAUGAGAGUUUGAUCCUGGCUCAGGAUUAACGCUGGCGGCGUGCAUAACACAUGCAAGUCGAACGAUGAAACUCAUUAGAUUUCUUCGGAAUGAAAAUGAAUGGAUUAGUGGCGAACGGGUGAGUAACGCGUGAGUAACCUGCCUUACACAAGGGGAUAGCCUCUGGAAACGGAGAAUAAUACCCUAUGAAACUAAUAGCUUGCAUAAGCUUUUAGUCAAAGUGCUUAGCGGUGUAAGAUGGACUUGCGUCUGAUUAGCUAGUUGGUGA
This 272-nucleotide ribosomal RNA is filed under the name Anaerococcus sp. mt242. Its description in RNAcentral is "partial 16S ribosomal RNA". It matches the Rfam family "Bacterial small subunit ribosomal RNA", at positions 1 to 255 of the family's 1533-position model. Lineage: Bacteria; Bacillati; Bacillota; Tissierellia; Tissierellales; Peptoniphilaceae. The record is from RNAcentral.